This 496-nucleotide ribosomal RNA is filed under the name uncultured bacterium. Its description in RNAcentral is "bacterial SSU rRNA". It matches the Rfam family "Bacterial small subunit ribosomal RNA", at positions 8 to 509 of the family's 1533-position model. The record is from RNAcentral.
AGAGUUUGAUCCUGGCUCGAAGGACGAACGCUGGCGGCGUGCUUAACACAUGCAAGUCGAACGGGGGUAAGAGAGAAGCUUGCUUUUUCUUACCCGAGUGGCGAACGGGUGAGUAACGCGUGAGGAACCUGUCUUAUACAGGGGGAUAACGCAUCGAAAGAUGUGCUAAUACCGCAUAGGACCACACUGCCGCAUGGCAGAGGGGUGAAAGGAGCGAUCCGGUGUAAGGUGGACUCGCGUCUGAUUAGAUAGUUGGUGAGGUAACGGCUCACCAAGUCAACGAUCAGUAGCCGACCUGAGAGGGUGAUCGGCCACAUUGGGACUGAGACACGGCCCAGACUCCUACGGGAGGCAGCAGUGGGGAAUAUUGGGCAAUGGGCGCAAGCCUGACCCAGCAACGCCGCGUGAAGGAAGAAGGUUUUCGGAUUGUAAACUUCUGUCCUUGGUGAAGAGUGGAAGACGGUAGCCAAGGAGGAAGCCCGGCUAACUACGUGCC